UUUACUGACAUUGGCAUGUUUUCGAAUGUGUAUAUCUAUUAUUGAUUUUGAUUGUAUUGAGUUUUUAGAAAUCUGAUUGCACAUAUCUAUAAAAUAUAAAUUAUUAUAAAUAUACCGAUUUGUAUACGUAUACGUAAUGUCAUCUCCGGUUAAAUGUGUAUAUUCAAGUUCUGCAUGUAACAGGUCUCCAAAUAUUUUAGAUUGGAGUAAAAAUAAUAUUAUAUGUUAUGGCUCUUGUAAUGGAAUUGAGCUGUAUAAAUAUGAGAAGGGUACUGGCGGAUCACAUCUGCAAACUUUAGUUGGCCAUAAGAAGAUCGUAACAUCAGUUCAUUGGAUUAAAAAAUGUGAUGAUUCAUUCGAAAAUGAACUUAUAUCUACUUCUGCUGACAGUUCAGCUGUAAUAUGGACAUCAGAUGGCUUGGAAUUUUCUUUGUCAUCAUCUUUGACUGGACAUAGCAAUGUGGUAAGAAAUGCUACAGGAAUAUAUCUUUCUGAGUGUGCAAAUAGUGAUUUAUUGAUAGCAACAGUUUCGAUGGAUUCAUCUCUUAAAUUAUGGACUCGACAACAUAGUACUGUCACAUGUACGCAGACCAUUUCAUUCAAUAAUGGUUUUGGUCUUGAUGUGAAAUUUGCUGUAUUAAAAAAUGCCAGUGACUUGAUUAUGUUAGUGGGUGCUGAUGAUGCCAAAAUUCACAUCUUUGUCCAGAAUAAUCUUGGGCAGUUCACAGCAGCUGCUAAAUUAGAUGGUCAUGCGGACUGGAUCCAGAGUUUAGAUAUUGCAAAAGACCCUAAUGAUACCAAUGCUGCGAUGCUGACUUCUGCCUCUCAAGAUUACCAUGUGCGUAUCUGGAAAAUUUCUACUAUAUUAUCAGAAAUUCCAGAACAAGAUUUGGAAGCUUCAAGGCUCCUAAAAACUGAUGAAAUUCUAUUUGCUGGUGAUACAGGUCAAACUUAUUGUGUGACUUUAGAAUCCAUUUUGCCACAUGAAAAUUGGGUUUAUUCUGCAAGAUGGGUGUAUAAUAAAAGUGUGUCUGACAUUGGAGAAGAAAAUGUGUCACUUUUGCUUCUCACGGCCUCUAUGGAUAAAACCAUGAUUAUUUGGGAAGCCAAUACUUCUACAUCUCUUUGGAUGGAAAAAGUUUGUGUUGGAGAAGUGGGUGGAAAUACCUUGGGCUUCUAUGGUGGAGUUUUCUCUCCCUGCGGAGAAAUCAUUGUCGGUCAUGGCUUUCAAGGAGCUAUCCAUAUCUGGGAGUUUCAUAAAGAAGAAGGCUCCUGGCAACCAGGUUUACCAUUUGGUGGUCAUUAUUCUUCAGUUCAAGAUAUUGAUUGGGAUCCUGAUGGAGAGUACUUAUUGAGCUGCAGCUAUGAUCAAACCACUCGUUUGCAUGCUCCUUACAUAAAUAAUAAAAAGAUCUACUGGCAUGAAAUUUCACGACCUCAAAUUCAUGGAUAUGAUAUGGUUUGUUUAAGUGUGUUAGAUAGAUUUAAAUUUGUCUCCGGUGGUGAUGAAAAAGUUCUUCGUGUUUUUGAAGCUCCUCGAAAUUUUGCAGAAACAUUAGAAAAGAUAGCAAAAGUAGACACAUCUGUUUACUUGAAAAAUAAGCUGGCAGAGGGAGCCACUGUUCCUUCACUUGGACUGUCAAACAAAGCCGUUUUUCAACAGGAUUUAGAAAAAACCAAUCCAUGUGACCAAGAGGAUUCAAAUCGAAACUUUAAAGAUUUAUAUCCUGAUGUUUAUUACACACCCACCCAUUUAACAGCCCCUCCAACUGAAGAAACACUUUUGCAGAAUACAUUGUGGCCUGAAGUGCAAAAGUUAUAUGGACAUCCAUAUGAAGUAUUUACUGUUACUUCAAAUCAUUCUAAAACAUUGAUUGCUUCAGCUUGUAAGGCCUCAAAAGUUGAACAUGCUGGAAUCAUCUUAUGGAGCACAUCCACUUGGAGACAAGUAGCAACUUUAUUGUUCCAUAAUUUGACUGUCACUCAAAUGGAAUUUUCUCCAGAUGAUGAAUAUCUUUUGUCAGUUUCAAGAGAUAGAAUGUGGGCUGUCUAUCGCCAUUUUCCUCAUGAAUGUUGCAAUAUGGGAGAAAAACAACAGUUCAGACGGAAUAUCUAUCUCUCUAUGUCUACAACCUUUAGAAGUUGAAGAUUCUGCAACUGCUGUAACAUUUGCUCCAUGUUUUACAGUUAACAAUAAGUAUUUAAUAGCUAUAGGACUGGAGAAUGGUUGUAUAGUUUUAACUAGCUGGAAUAGUAUUGAAGGGUGGAGCAUCUUUCGGAGAUUGCAACAAAA
RNAcentral lists this unclassified non-coding RNA (2293 nucleotides) under Stegodyphus dumicola. Its description in RNAcentral is "elongator complex protein 2-like, transcript variant X2". Lineage: Eukaryota; Metazoa; Arthropoda; Arachnida; Araneae; Eresidae. The record is from RNAcentral.